This is a long non-coding RNA of Siniperca chuatsi (mandarin fish), 482 nucleotides long. RefSeq lists it as uncharacterized. The record is from RefSeq and is a predicted model, not a curated record. The transcript is spliced from 2 exons. Lineage: Eukaryota; Metazoa; Chordata; Actinopteri; Centrarchiformes; Sinipercidae.
CCAGAUUGUAGUCAUCCUAUACGUGCGCAUGCCUGGCUUCCUGGGUACCUGCUUGCAGCUGAUCACCGGCACACCUGCAUUCCAUUAUUCAUCAGUCUCCACCGUUCAUAUACCAGGCACCUCCACACCACCGACGCCAGAUCGUCCUCGUACAUGAGUGCGCCACGGCCUAUAGUAAGUUACGAGUAAAAGUAUUUUCUUCUUGCAUGUCGGUAAUUCUGAUCUCCCUCUGCUUCAGACACGUCGCUGCCGGUGAUCACCGCUCCAGACCACUCUACACAUUCGGCUUCACCAGUCCACCGCCUGGUUAGUCCAGCUACCACCUCUACACUCGUCAGUCCAGAGCCGGCAACCUCGUCUCCAUUCGGAGCGCCGCAAGUUUUCGUCCCCGGCCCGGUCGAGUUCCCGAGGCGGCCAUCAACUACGCCGAACUUAUCACUACCCACCUACUUUCUGAUCAAUAAAUAAUGUGGUCAACUUAC